Molecule: long non-coding RNA, 6300 nt
Organism: Canis lupus familiaris (dog)
Lineage: Eukaryota; Metazoa; Chordata; Mammalia; Carnivora; Canidae
Exons: 4
Source: RefSeq, a predicted model, not a curated record
CCAACUCUGAGAUCAAGACCUGAGCUGAGAGACCCAGAGUCAGAUGCUCAACCGACUGAGCUCCCCAGCCCCCCUGAGGAUAUGAAUCAUUAAAAUACUUUGGUUGAUCCCUCUUGUCAUGGCUCAGGUCCCAGUGAGCUGCACGUUCAGUGAAAAAGAUGUACGUCCUGCUGUAGUCAUUUUACUUUUGCCUGGUCUACCCUCCAGGCCCCGUCACUGUACCCCCUUGGCAAAGCCAUGAGCAACCAGAGCUGCAGUUAGGGCUGGAUGUCAGCCACAGAGCAGGCCCAGCAGAACCCCGUGAUGCCAGCCCACCCGGUGGUUUCCAAGGCAACCCCUGAUGUCUCCCUCCCCGGGCUGAAGGGGGGAGCCCGGGAGCCUCUCUCCUGACGUGGCUCUGAAGAGAACCAGCACCCGGCGAGGACUCUGGUUCCAGGCCUGUUUCCGAUUUUUCUAUGGAAGGAUAAGUCCUACGUUUAUCUGCCCCAGUGCUGAGAUGAGGAUUUGAAUUUAAACGGAACUCUUGGGUGGUGGACACGGAAGAUCACUGGGCUGAGAAAUCACUGGGUGACCCUCCAAGGAUGAAGAAGUAACGGGGUUUUCUGAUUUGUAACAGAACAAAAAUUAGACAUGAGCAAUGCUGCUGUUCCUUGAACUGGAUUAUUGUAAAGAUCCAAUAAGGAAAACUGAUUUUUAUGAACCAACCAACAAGCAUUGCAUAAUUUGGAAGUUGUGGCGCCUGAGUGAGCACUUCCAGGGAGAAGCUACUAGAAACUCAGGCUAAUCAGACACCUGCCUGCCUGCAUUCCAGAUGAUGAUCACAAACCAAAGGCAGAGGGAGCACAGGCUUUGCAAAGGAAGUAACCCUUGGUGUAAAAUUGUCGGGGGAGGGGGAGUGGGUGGGUAUGGAGGAGGCAUGGGUAGUUCCCCCUCUUCACUCCCUCACCCUCAGCCAUCAGCCAGGACACUGCUCUGAAACAGGAGAGUAAUUUGGGGCUGAUCCUGUCCAGCCUGAGAGAGACAGAGGCCAGCCUGCUGUCAGAGAUAACAACGGCUGUUGGAAGGCAAGUCUGGGGGAAAUAUUUUAAUAAAGAAUCCUGGGAAUUCCAGUUCCAGUUGGAGCGGGCCCCAAGGGGGCAAGUCAGGAGCAUGAAUGGAAAUUUGCAGCCUGAAUUAACCCCAAAGACGACAGUCCCAUGGCUGGAAACCAUGCAUGCCUCCCACAUACCUGCCAUUCACCCAUGGGACAGAAAGGCACAGUGGGGUGGGGGUGGGGGUAUGAAAUACUGCUCAGCACACAGGAAGGGGUCCAAAGACCCCCCUCCCUCUGACCCUCACCCCCAGGCCAUGAGUGCACAACUCCCGUGGUGGUGGUGGGGGGGGGCACCUUCUCAUCUUGCAGAUAGUAGAUGCUCAUUGUGCUCCCUGAAUGGGUGAGCCAACAGUAGGAGCCACAAAGAGGGGGCUGAGGACCUCCCACCCAGCCUGCCAUCAAAGUAACUUGCAGGAAUUCCACUGUUAAUUCUCCGGGUCCCUAAAGAAAAGAACAUUCACUCCCACCCACAUUGGAAGAUGGCUUGCAUUGGAAGGAAAUGGUACGUAAAGACAACAUCUUCGAGCUCACUGCAAGGUGUUUUGUAAAGCUAACGUAUUUUCCUUCCCUGGAGAUGACUCGAAAACAUGAGUUUCAUUGUAGUAGGAGGCCAACUUAAUCAACAGAGGGAGCAGACAGGGGAGGGUAUUUCUGCCAGCGGGUGUACUGGGGCCGAGGGAUGGCAGUACACCGGUUCUGCUCCAGCAGAGACAGACAAGUGCCAGGCUUCUAGAAGCCCUUUCUUUGCCUGCCUGUAGAUACCUCCACUGCAAUUAUUUUAAGUUCCCCUGGAUAUUUUAAAUAUGACAUAUAACGCUGACCAAGUAAAUGUAGCAGUACAUUUCCCCAGGUUUUAAAAUUGUACUGAUGAGAACAGGGAAGAAGGGGGAGCCCUACUGGUACGACCGACUUUUAUUUUAGUUGCUAUUUAAGUGCAAAGAAAGGCUGGAAGUACCUGAUAAAUAGAAAAGGCGAGGCUCUACUACGGACCACGAGCAGAAAAACUCGGGCACUUCUGGGAGUGAUUAAUUCCCACUGCACAGAGAUGGUCUCUUGCCUUCAGCGGAGCUUGGGAAAAGCCUUCGUUUGGAAUAAGCAGCAGCUGGCUUCUGAGCCUCAGUGUUCCCCUCUGCGAAACGGGGCUGUUGGGAGGCCUAUGCGGCACCCUGCACAGGGCUUGAGAGGCUAAGAGGACUCUCCGUAAAUACUGCUUUGCAAAUUGCCACAUCAAUGCGGAGCUCUGAGCGGCACGUUGGUGUGUUUUUUCCCUGCCGAGAAUGGACUAUCCAUGGUUCCUCCCCUUAGCCUUCACCUCAACACACUCAAUUAUGGCUUCUGGAUGAUGGAAACACAAACAUUUGUCAGUGAGCUUCUGCUCAACAUUGUACUGCAUUUCUGUGGCGUCCUCCUCCCCCUGAGAGCCUGUGUUAGAGUGUGGGCAAGCAGGAGGCCCAGGCGGUGGGUCUGGGGGGCCUGGGAUAGAGUGCCGUGCAGUGGAAAAAAGACCUCCGCACGCAGCCUUUCUCCCCUGGUCUGCAAAACGUCAGAGAAUCCUGAACUGCUCCCUCAUGGCUCCAGGAGGCCCCCCUCCCAAACUUCAGGCAUCCCUGUUGAAAUACAAGAUGGCAAGGCCAUAUCCACCAUCGUUCUCUCUGCCAGCAAACUUUGGAGCCUUGGUCAGCCGGGGAAGUUUAAUGACAGCUAUACAAGUGAUCUUGGGUUUGUUUUGGGGGUUUUCCAAAGCAAGAGGGGGAAAGUAAUUUUAUUUUUAUAAAGAUGAAAAAAAUGCCCAGAAACCCUUGCCAGCCAAGCCCUUUCUUCAUAUAUAUGUAUUCCCCGCCCCCCGGCUUCUUGAUUCCUCUUACUUCCCGAGCCCCAUGAAAGGCAAGUUUACUGUCCUGGACAAAGGGUGGUUUGUGUCCUUUUGCUAUGAGACAAAUGGGAGAGGGGGAGGAAGGAAGAGAGACUCAGGGUUCAAAUAUUUCUUCUAGACAAUAUGAAGUCCUGCUGCUGCUGGAGUAGCUGCCCUGCUCCACGCAGGGGAAGAGUUAGGGAGGACUUGUGAGGUCAGUAGGGCCAAAACUGUGUCUUGGUCUCCCUGAGUGAGCCAGAGCUCCACUGAAAACCUAGCUUACCAUCUCCAACCUCAUUCGAUCUAAACAAAGAAGGGUAGAAAGAUGAACACAACUCUUGCAUGGGUUUUAUUUCCCUUUGGCUCCAAUUGUUUGUGCGUGCCACAUACUCACCUACGCUUUGGUGUGUACACUCUGAUGUAAAGAGUCUGUGUGGCUCAGUAACAGCCAGAGGGGCAGGGUCCCAGUCUAGAAGCACGGGUAGGCCAGGAAGCAGAUGCCUGUAUUAGUCUGCUACUGCUGUCAUGAUAGCAUACCAAAGACUGGGUGGGGUAAACAACAGGACUUGAUGUUUUUGCACAAUUUUGGAGGCCUGAGAUUAAGAUGUUGGUAGAUGUGGUUUUUUCUGAGGCCUCACUACUUGGCUUGUAGUUGGCCAUCUUCUCCCUGUGUCUUUACAUGGUCUUUUCUCUCUCCUGUCUGUGUCCUAAUCUCCUCUGAUAAGGGCACCAGUCAUAUUGGAUAAGGGCCUAUGAUGAUGACCUCAUUCUGACUUAAUGACCCCUUUAAAGACCCUUUGUCCAAAUACAGUCCCAUUCUGUGGUACUGGGGGUUAGGAUUUCAGUGUGUGGACUUUUUGCCAGACACGAUUCAGCCCAUAGCAGUUCCCUACAACAAAGGGGCUUGCUAGGGGCUGGGGAGAUGUGCCUAAAAUUAUGUUCUCAAUAAUGUCCCUACCCUAGUGAUGGGAACAUGGUAGGCUCUUUUUAACAGCGGUCCACUUCUGGGGCCCCUGGGUGGCUUAGCAGUUGAGUAUCUGCCUUCGACUCAGGGCGUGAUCCUGGGGUUUGGGGAUCGAGUACUGCAUUGGGUUCCCUGUAGGAAGCCUGCUUCUCCCUCUGCCUAUGUGUCUGUCUCUCUCUGUGUCUCUUAUGAAUAAAUAAAUAAAAUAAAUUUUUUAAAAAAAAAGAUGGUGGUCCACUCCUGUUCUCCAGGCAAAACACUAGGUCUCUAUUAUCAGGGGGCUCACCCUCCUCCAGGGGAGCCAUGAAAUCUCAAGCCAUGGGAAGAGACUUGGGACUCUGGGUUCAGGUUCCCAAUCUGGGCUGUACCACUGCUCACCAAGUAGGUAAGAGAUGUCAUCUUCUGAGUCUGUUCCUCAGGUGUAAAAUGGGGGUGGUUAGAGAGAGAUGAGUGGACUCAAUGAUCCAAGGACUCACUGACUCCGAGCCUUGCAGUGGUUAAGGGCAGGGUGCCAAAGUGAGGAGUAGUAAUUGGGUGUUGGCUAGAAUAACUGAGAAAGCAUUUGUGCUUGCUCAGAACUGGGUGUUUCCCAUAAUCUUUGCUUGGGCUGAAGCCAGUCAUCCUCCAUGACUGGCUGACUUUUUUGGUCAAAAGGAACUCAUCUCUCUUUCUUCUGUGCUUCCCCCCUACCCCCUCAAAACCAAACAAAGAAACUCUGCCCUUUGGAGCCAGAGCAGCACAUGCUUUGGGAGGGAAGUCUCAGAGAAAGUCUCUCUCUGCUUGUUCCCCUCAGUCAUCACCUCAUCUGCCAGGCUCCAGCUGUGGCCGACACGGCUGGGAUGUCUUUGCACAGCUCCAGAUGCUGCCCUGGAACUCUGAAGGCCAGUUACUGAGAGAGAAGGCUCUGGCAACAAAGUGAAGGAGUUAGAGCAGGAGUCAGACUAAGAUAACCCCAGCAAUGUCUCUUCCACUCUGGGUUCUGGAAUGUUCUCACGAGAGAAGCUUGCCCUGGGUUGACUGUUCACUUGGAUGACUCUUGGGGCUUUUACUUCACACAGGACCCCUUGCUGGAGUUUGAGGGCUCAAGGAAUCGCACCCUCCCCUCUUCACCUGAAUCCAGAAGUAACUGAGGAUAAGCAAAAAGGGGAGGAGAAAGUGCCCUCGGGCACAGUGCUGAGUUUCCUAAUAGAAACCAGAGAAUCAUACACAGGCCAAGGAGCAAGAGACCAAAUCUGUGUGUCCCAGAUCUCGAUCCGGCCAGAUCUGAAGGAUGAGGGAUGGAGCCCGGGGCUGAGUGAUGACCCGGCAACUCUUUCCAACAGAUAAUGGAAGAGCCUUCUGCUAAUGGAUGUUGGCCUCAUGAAAGGAAAUACCAGGAAUUGGGAAGAAAGGCCUCUCCACACUGCCGCUGUCCCCAGGACCACCACCCAAGAUAUUCAGGGUGAGAAGUCUUUACUGACACCUAAUGUGACAGAGGGGAGGUCACACUGCAGGACACUGACAGCUUAACACUGCACAUCAGCCAUUCGCCCUCUUUGUCUCUGGCAGCCCUUUGGCUAGCCCGCCACCAGGAUUUCUUCCCUGCCUUCCUCCUGGCCAAGCUGCAGCUCUUCUUGUGUUGCAGGAUCCUCUGCUCCUUGAAGACACUUCCCCCACAGCAUUUCCCUUGUUAUGCAGAGAGAAUUUUAGCUGUUCAUCCCCUCCACUGCACAUCCAAGGAGCAUCAAAGCACCCUGUCUCCCUGGGAUUUCACCCUUUGACAUCUCAGAAGAGCUAGCAGGGACUUCACCCUUUCACUCUCUCUGGUCUGUGCAAGUGGCAGGAAACAACACAGACAUUUACUUUCCUACUGUGACGAGUGAUGCCACCUCCCCUCGGAAAGCAGAAGUGCCUACAGUUAGCGUGGGUGUUUGUUAGAAUCCUUUUUAUUUACCGUAAGACCUUACCCUGAUGAGCUAAGUGCUCUCCUCGGCAUUCAACAGGGUAAUGAGAUCAAUAGAGUGAGCCUUUAUAUUAGGUCAAUGCCCAAUUAACCAAUUCUGGUUUAAUUUUUGAGAAUGGUGUGAAUUAUGGAGCUAACUUGAUUCUUUUUCUGAACAGAACCCAGAUUUCAACUCAGCUUCUUCAAUGGUCCAUUCUUUCCCCACUAAUUAAAUUGCUUCCUAAAAUAUUUGCUAGAUACGUACAUUGAUCUGGACGCUACAGGUUUUGGACUCUAAGUCAGUUGAUUAUUUGUCUGUUGCUGGAUCAAUAGCACACUUUGAAAAUUAUGAUAACCUUAUGGUAUAUUUUGGUGUCUCCUGGAGCAAAUUCUUUCAUUGUCACGCCUUUUCUCAAAUUUCUUGGCUUGACCUAUGAGGCUUUGCCUCCCGUCAAUUUUUUUUUAGAGAA